Molecule: ribosomal RNA, 431 nt
Filed under: uncultured bacterium
Lineage: Bacteria
Description: partial 16S ribosomal RNA
Rfam family: Bacterial small subunit ribosomal RNA
Source: RNAcentral
AGCGAACGCUGGCGGCAGGCUUAACACAUGCAAGUCGAGCGCCCCGCCAGGGGAGCGGCAGACGGGAGAGUAACACGUGGGAACAUACCUUUUGGUUCGGAACAACUGAGGGAAACUUCAGCUAAUACCGGAUAAGCCCUUACGGGGAAAGAUUUAUCGCCGAAAGAUUGGCCCGCGUCUGAUUAGCUCGUUGGUGAGGUAACGGCUCACCAAGGCGACGAUCAGUAGCUGGUCUGAGAGGAUGAUCAGCCUCACUGGGACUGAGACACGGCCCAGACUCCUACGGGAGGCAGCAGUGGGGAAUAUUGGACAAUGGGGGCAACCCUGAUCCAGCCAUGCCGCGUGAGUGAUGAAGGCCUUAGGGUUGUAAAGCUCUUUUGCCCGGGAAGAUAAUGACGGUACCGGGAGAAUAAGCCCCGGCUAACUUCGUG